CAGGUCGUAACCAUCAGCGUUGUGCUCCUUCAGUAUCCAAGUUAAUGAAAGCAAAUCCAUUUUUAGAUCCAUGGCUCCAAAGUCUUAUGCUAAUUCGGUUUCUGCAUCACGGAGACUACUAAUAAUAGAGGCAAGUGCAUAAGAACGAAAGUUUGUUCGCUGUGAAAAUUUGAACAACAGUACUUACAAUUUGAAGACGUGUACGUCUUUGCCUCUCCCUAACACCCCUCUGACCUGAAAGCUUCAGCCAUCAGCGCAGAACAAUACUCUUCUACUAGGUUCAUAUAGCAAUCUAGUUCCAACUUCCAAAUGUAACAAAAAUACACAAUCAAACCUCUCCUAAUGACUUGCGCUCAUCGUCCUCUUCAUUCGCAUCCUUAAAUAGAAUUACAAAUUAAUAAAUCUAAAGAUAUUAUGCAUAUUGAUGCAGCUGUAAGUUUAGAGCAGGAAUGCACCGCAGGAAUCACACCCUCCAACAAGCUUGUUAACACAAGUGCAGCACUUGGCACAUAUGCCUAGGUCCUUGGAGCAAUCUGCAAUAACCAGCAACAGUAUGAAUCAGUAACGAUCCAACUUAUUAAUGUUUAACAACCAGGGCUAGUGACACAAGCGAUUGAGCGGCCAAAAUUCACAUAUGCAUACGUUUUGGUUUGAUUGCCGCUUGCCGGACGUUUCGCUUACAAGGCGCAGGCCCCCACGCCCCACGGCGCGCUCUCGUGCGUCGCCUACGCUCCGCCCGC
This 740-nucleotide long non-coding RNA is filed under the name Zea mays. RNAcentral describes it as "long non-coding RNA (ZMAY_LNC002720)". The record is from RNAcentral. Lineage: Eukaryota; Viridiplantae; Streptophyta; Magnoliopsida; Poales; Poaceae.